RNAcentral lists this transfer RNA (84 nucleotides) under Caldisericia bacterium. Its description in RNAcentral is "tRNA-Leu". It matches the Rfam family "tRNA". From Rfam's summary of the family: Transfer RNA (tRNA) molecules are approximately 80 nucleotides in length. The record is from RNAcentral. Lineage: Bacteria; Pseudomonadati; Caldisericota; Caldisericia.
GCGGAAGUGGCGAAAAGGCAGACGCGCUGGAUUCAGAUUCCAGUGGGUUUUCCCGUGAGGGUUCAAAUCCCUCCUUCCGCACCA